Molecule: ribosomal RNA, 361 nt
Filed under: uncultured bacterium
Lineage: Bacteria
Description: partial 16S ribosomal RNA
Rfam family: Bacterial small subunit ribosomal RNA
Source: RNAcentral
CCUACGGGGUGCAGCAGUGGGGGAUAUUGCACAAUGGGGGAAACCCUGAUGCAGCGACGCCGCGGGAGUGAAGAAGAAGUUCGGGAUGUAAAGCUCUAUCAGCAGGGAAGAAAAUGACAGUACCUGAACAAGAAGCCCCGGCUAACUACGUGCCAGCAGCCGCGGUAAUACGUAGGGGGCAAGCGUUAUCCGGAUUUACUGGGUGUAAAGGGAGCGUAGACGGUUAUGGAAGUCUGGAGUGAAAGCCCGGGGCCGAACCCCGGGACUGCUUUGGAAACUGUGUAACUGUAGUACAGGAGGGGCAGGCGGACUUCCUGGUGUAGCGGUGAAAUGCGUAGAUAUCAGGCGGAACACCGGCGGC